GCGACAUGUUUACGCUGGACAGACGGAUAGACGGAUAGAUAGACGGACGGACGGACAGAAUGACUGAUAGAUGGAGGAAGGGACGGAUGGAAGGAAGGACAGACGGACGGAUGAAUGUAUACAAUAAUACGUCCUGUCAAAAUUGUGACGGGCGUGUAAAACGCAAUGAAAUGAAAAAAAAACCUCUUAAUUAAAGGUCAAUAAGUUUUAUUAGGAUAUCGGCCAAGUCGAUUUAUUUGUAUAUCUUCUUGACUUCCUA
RNAcentral lists this long non-coding RNA (259 nucleotides) under Mytilus galloprovincialis (Mediterranean mussel). Lineage: Eukaryota; Metazoa; Mollusca; Bivalvia; Mytilida; Mytilidae. The record is from RNAcentral.